CCCUUAGAUGUCCGGGGCCGCACGCGCGCUACACUGAAGGAAUCAGCGUGGCUUUCUCCCUGACCCGAAAGGGUUGGGAAACCCGUUGAAUCUCCUUCGUGAUAGGGAUUGGGGCUUGAAAUUGUUCCCCAUGAACGAGGAAUUCCCAGUAAGCGCGAGUCAUAAGCUCGCGUUGAUUACGUCCCUGCCCUUUGUACACACCGCCCGUCGCUACUACCGGUUGAACGGUUUAGUGAGGGCCUCGGAUUGGUCUCGGCCCGCUCUUUACCGGGCGGCGCCGUUGGUCGAGAAGACGCUCGAACUUGAUCGUUUAGAGGAAGUAAAAGUCGUAACA
This 334-nucleotide ribosomal RNA is filed under the name uncultured eukaryote. RNAcentral's name for it is "partial 18S ribosomal RNA". It matches the Rfam family "Eukaryotic small subunit ribosomal RNA", at positions 1470 to 1796 of the family's 1831-position model. The record is from RNAcentral.